RNAcentral lists this ribosomal RNA (220 nucleotides) under uncultured bacterium. RNAcentral describes it as "partial 16S ribosomal RNA". It matches the Rfam family "Bacterial small subunit ribosomal RNA", at positions 57 to 305 of the family's 1533-position model. The record is from RNAcentral.
GCAAGUCGAACGAAGUCUUCGGACUUAGUGGCGGACGGGUGAGUAACACGUGGGAACAUGCCCUUGGGUACGGAACAACAUUUGGAAACGAAUGCUAAUACCGUAUGAUGUCUUCGGACCAAAGAUUUAUCGCCCAAGGAUUGGCCCGCGUAAGAUUAGAUAGUUGGUGGGGUAACGGCCUACCAAGUCUACGAUCUUUAGCUGGUCUUAGAGGAUGAUC